This 750-nucleotide long non-coding RNA is filed under the name Naja naja (Indian cobra). RNAcentral's name for it is "lncRNA (ENSNNAG00000014823.1)". The record is from RNAcentral. Lineage: Eukaryota; Metazoa; Chordata; Lepidosauria; Squamata; Elapidae.
CCUUGCUGAUUUUGGACUUCCCUUCUUGCAAAGCCCAGCAUGGAUGCUCAGCCUGUGGUCAUGACUGCAGGCUCUCUUUCUUACAUCACUCAGACUGAUUUUCCAGUCCCACUGAAAAAGUUUUAUCGGGGUGAACCUCUGGCAUUGGGGGUGCAAAGCAUGGUGGCCAUGAAUGUGUUAAGUACUGUAGCAGCUGGUUUGGGCCUGGCGUCCCUGUUUGCCACCUUCGGUAUACCCUAUCUAUUCAAUUUGUCUAGCCACUGCCAUAAUUUUAAAGAAGAAAUUGAGAAAAAGUGUGAUGCAAACCAGAAUAUCGGCAUAGGAAUACUGACUAUUCUUACUCUGUUCACCGCCCUGGAGUUUUGCAUCACCAUCUCAGUUGCGUCUUUUGGAUGUAAGAUGCUUUGCCGAGAUACCUUCCCUGAACAAGUUGUGGUCAUUUAUCAGAAUGUGUCUCCUGCCAGUGCCGAACAAGUUCCUCCCCUCGACUGUAAACAGGCAGCAAUUCAAUCCUGAAUUGCUUUUUUUUCAUUGCAGCUAUUCUGGAGUGCAUUCACCUCCUGCAUCUUGAAGACUUUUUUUUUUAAGGAAUUGCAUGGAAGUUUUUAAACAGUGGAGCAUAAAGGCUUUUUAAUGGACUAAGCAAAAAGCACCAGACGCAAAAGAUCAUGUGAAUGUUCUUUGUUGCUGGUUAAAAUAUCUCUUUAUGAGUUGGUUGGCACUUUGCACCACGUUAUGGUUUGCCGUUGG